GACCACCGCUGCUGAGACAUAUGUACGGAACACCUGUCGCAUGUUUCUGGGCUCCAUUGUUCCUCAUGCGCUGCUGUUGCUGCUGCGUCUCACACAACCUGUUCCCGGAACAUCAACCCUCAGUACGAGUCAGAUCCAGCCCCGAUUAUAUGCAGGAUGCCAGCUGGCAGACAGAUGGUGGUGGCUUUACACGUUUUUAUUUAAAGACACAUCAGAAGGAAGAGGAGGGUGAGGCAAGCGAACAGCUGUAGCGAGUGGGACAGGACGGUAUAUGCUGGUCAAAGUGACGAGCAGCCUGCACAAUGAGAGAAAAGAACGAAAAACAAACACUAGAAACUUUCCCCAAAUGCACCAGAGAGCACUUGUACCCUAAAUAUGGCCCCGUGACUAUAUCACAAUUAGAAUUUUAUGAUCUAUUGUUUUUACACAUGUAUUGAAUUUGUUGUACGAAACGCUCUGUCUUUGGAGAACAGUAAUAAGGACGUUAAAGCGCUGUCUUCCUCAGUCUGAGCGGCGCUGCUGGCGUUCUCCGUGUCAUACCAUAGACCUGGGGCCUCGUGCCCUUUAACGGCGUUAGUCUCAGCGGGAGGGGGGCUUAUUAACCGCAGUCUCGUUAAACCUUUUCACUACAGCACAGCAGUGCUACCUACGACUAACUGCGCAAGCCAUGAGAUCUAGAAACACUGUGUGGAACAUUUGCAUUGUUAUAAUAAUUAGAAUUUCUUUAUUUCGACUCUUUACAAAUCCUGCUAUUUUACACACAUAAAAUGUAUUCAAGUGCACAGUAUCUCCCAGGCAAACAGCUGCUUCAGUGUGAGUCCUGCGCCUUUGCACUUGAGACCAGAGAACAAACGGCCUGUGAGAGGGGCAUGCCAUAUGCAAAAUACAUAAGUUCAAUUAAAUAAAACAAACACCAAAACAAUAGCAAACAAAGAGUUGUGGAUGGUAUUAAAUUAUGCAGAUAUCAUCGUUAUUGUGAUCGCACAUGAUAUACAGCUUUGAAAAUGAUGACUUUGUUGCGUAAAAGGUAGAAAUACACUCCAAUGUUCAGUGCUACAAUAAUGUGACUCGUAUAGAUUUAAUUACCACUAAUUCCUCUACUACUAUGGGGAAACCAUGGUAAUAACAAUAAAACCUCACACUCACACGCUUACAUACUGUCGCGCACACACACACAUACAAGCAAACUAUACUGGUGUUAGUUCAGUUUUGAACUUUUUAUUCUUUAUUUCUCCUUUUUAUUUUCUUUUUAAAGGAAGCUUUUAAUCAAAGAGCAUUUUUGUUCAUAUAUAGUUUUUACAGAAGAAAAUACUAUACAACCUUUUUUUUUUUUUUCUUCCUGAAACAAUAUUGUCGAAGAUAACCAUCUACACAUUUAGUUGCCUAUAUUAUGAUCAAAGCCGUGUUUAGGAAAUAAUUCAUAAUUUCCUCGCCUCGCUUUUCCUUGUUUAUAUUCAAUGGAGGCCAAGCAAACAAAAAUCAUUUUUCUCUCUCUUUUUUUUUUUUUUAAUUUGGAGCGAAGCACUGCAAUAAUUUCCUCUGUAUAGAAUUCAUUUAAAUUACAGUCAUCAUUAGUGUUACUCGUUAGACAAGCCAGGUUCUAGCAUGCCUGUUUCAUAUUGAAAUCAUCCAAUCUUGGAAGCGAAGAAAAAACUUUUUUUUUUUUUUUUUUUUUUUUCUUUUUUUUUCUUAAAUAAAA
Molecule: long non-coding RNA, 1699 nt
Organism: Puntigrus tetrazona (Sumatra barb)
Lineage: Eukaryota; Metazoa; Chordata; Actinopteri; Cypriniformes; Cyprinidae
Exons: 2
Source: RefSeq, a predicted model, not a curated record